RNAcentral lists this ribosomal RNA (351 nucleotides) under uncultured bacterium. RNAcentral's name for it is "bacterial SSU rRNA". It matches the Rfam family "Bacterial small subunit ribosomal RNA", at positions 917 to 1271 of the family's 1533-position model. The record is from RNAcentral.
GGGCCCGCACAAGCGGUGGAGCAUGUGGUUUAAUUCGAUGAUACGCGAGGAACCUUACCAGGGCUUAAAUGGGAAAUGACAGGGGCAGAGACGCCCCCUUCUUCGGACAUUUUUCAAGGUGCUGCAUGGUUGUCGUCAGCUCGUGCCGUGAGGUGUCAGGUUAAGUCCUAUAACGAGCGCAACCCCUACCGUUAGUUGCCAGCGAGUCAUGUCGGGGACUCUAACGGGACUGCCGGUGCAAACCGUGAGGAAGGUGGGGACGACGUCAAAUCAUCACGGCCCUUACGUCCUGGUCACACACGUGCUACAAUGGUAGGUACAACGAGUCGCAAUACCGCGAGGUGGAGCAAA